AACGUAGGACACAAGCGUUAUCCGGAGUUACUGGGCGUAAAGGGCGUGUAGGCGGACCUAUAAGUCUAUUCUGAAAGCUCCUGGCUAAACUGGGAGAGGCGAAUGGAGACUGUAGAUCUAGAGUGAGGAAGAGGAAAGUGGAAUUCCGCGUGUAGUGGUGAGAUGCGUAGAGAUGCGGAGGAACACCAGUGGCGAAAGCGACUUUCUGGUCCUUAACUGACGCUGAGGCGCGAAAGCAUGGGGAGCGAACGGG
Molecule: ribosomal RNA, 253 nt
Filed under: uncultured bacterium
Lineage: Bacteria
Description: partial 16S ribosomal RNA
Rfam family: Bacterial small subunit ribosomal RNA
Source: RNAcentral